Molecule: ribosomal RNA, 441 nt
Filed under: uncultured bacterium
Lineage: Bacteria
Description: partial 16S ribosomal RNA
Rfam family: Bacterial small subunit ribosomal RNA
Source: RNAcentral
CUACGGGUGGCUCCAGUGGGGAAUAUUGGGCAAUGGGCGCAAGCCUGACCCAGCAACGCCGCGUGAGGGAAGAAGGUUUUCGGAUUGUAAACCUCUGUCCUUGGGGACGAAGAAGUGACGGUACCCAAGGAGGAAGCUCCGGCUAACUACGUGCCAGCAGCCGCGGUAAUACGUAGGGAGCGAGCGUUGUCCGGAAUUACUGGGCGUAAAGGGUGCGUAGGCGGCAUAUUAAGUCAGGUGUGAAAUACCCGGGCUCAACCCGGGGGGUGCAUUUGAAACUGAUACGCCUGAGUGUGAGAGAGGAAAGGGGAAUUCCUAGUGUAGCGGUGAAAUGCGUAGAUAUUAGGAGGAACACCAGUGGCGAAGGCGACUUUCUGGCUCAUAACUGACGCUGAGGCACGAAAGCGUGGGGAGCAAACAGGAUUAGAUACCCGGGUAGUC